Molecule: ribosomal RNA, 433 nt
Filed under: uncultured bacterium
Lineage: Bacteria
Description: partial 16S ribosomal RNA
Rfam family: Bacterial small subunit ribosomal RNA
Source: RNAcentral
AACGAACGCUGGCGGCAUGCCUAACACAUGCAAGUCGAACGAGACCUUCGGGUCUAGUGGCGCACGGGUGCGUAACGCGUGGGAACCUGCCCUUAGGUUCGGAAUAACUCCCCGAAAGGGGUGCUAAUACCGGAUAAUGUCUUCGGACCAAAGAUUUAUCGCCUUUGGAUGGGCCCGCGUUGGAUUAGCUAGUUGGUAGGGUAAAAGCCUACCAAGGCGACGAUCCAUAGCUGGUCUGAGAGGAUGAUCAGCCACACUGGGACUGAGACACGGCCCAGACGAAGAGCGGAGGGAGCAGUGGGGAGGAUCGGAGAAGGUGUUGAGGGUUGAACCGGUAAUGCAGCGUGGAUGAAAAGGGCCAUAGGGGUGUAACGGUCUCCGCCAGCGUAUGAGACGGGACGGGGGGUAAGAGUUAGAACGGGACUAUGCAAGC